GUUGAAAAACCAUGGGAUGAGCUGUGGAUAGCGGAGAAAUUCCAAUCGAACUCGGAGAUAGCUGGUUCUCCUCGAAAUAGCUUUAGGGCUAGCGUCGUGUAAUUGAGUAAUGGAGGUAGAGCACUGAAUGGGCUAGGGGCUAUAGUAGUUACCGAACCCUAUCAAACUCCGAAUGCCAUAUACUUGUAUCACGGCAGUCAGACUGCGAAUGAUAAGAUCCGUAGUCAAAAGGGAAACAGCCCAGACCAUCAGCUAAGGUCCCAAAGUGUAAGUUAAGUGGAAAAGGAUGUGGGAUUUCUAAGACAACUAGGAUGUUGGCUUAGAAGCAGCCACUCAUUUAAAGAGUGCGUAAUAGCUCACUAGUCAAGAGAUCCUGCGCCGAAGAUGUCCGGGGCUCAAACUUACCACCGAAGCUAUGGGUGUACACUAUGUGUACGCGGUAGAGGAGCUUUCUGUAUGGGUUGAAGUCGUACCGUAAGGAGCGGUGGACUGUACAGAAGUGAGAAUGCUGGCAUAAGUAGCGAGAAAUAAGUGAGAAUCUUAUUGGCCGAAAACCUAAGGUUUCCUGAGGAAGGUUCGUCCGCUCAGGGUUAGUCGGGACCUAAGCCGAGGCCGAAAGGCGUAGGUGAUGGACAAUCGGUUGAUAUUCCGAUACCACCUAUUUACGUUUGAGAAAUGGGGUGACGCAGUAGGAUAAGAUGUGCGCACUAUUGGAUGUGCGUCUAAGCACUUAGGCAUGCUUGAUAGGCAAAUCCGUCGAGCUAAGCUGAGGUGUGAUGGGGAGCCAUUUAUGGCGAAGUAUCUGAUUCCACACUGCCAAGAAAAGCCUCUAUCGAGUGAAUAGGUGCCCGUACCGCAAACCGACACAGGUAGGUGAGGAGAGAAUCCUAAGGCCAUCGGAAGAAUUGCUGUUAAGGAACUCGGCAAAUUGACCCCGUAACUUCGGGAGAAGGGGUGCCUACGAAAGUAGGCCGCAGAGAAUAGGCCCAAGCAACUGUUUAGCAAAAACACAGGUCUCUGCUAAAGCGAAAGCUGAUGUAUAGGGGCUGACGCCUGCCCGGUGCUGGAAGGUUAAGGGGAACACUUAGCGUAAGCGAAGGUGUGAACUUAAGCCCCAGUAAACGGCGGCCGUAACUAUAACGGUCCUAAGGUAGCGAAAUUCCUUGUCGGGUAAGUUCCGACCCGCACGAAUGGCGUAAUGAUUUGGGCACUGUCUCAACAGCAAAUCCGGCGAAAUUGUAGUGCAAGUGAAGAUGCUUGCUACCCGCGAUUGGACGGAAAGACCCCGUAGAGCUUUACUGUAGCUUAGCAUUGAAUCUCGGUAUUGUCUGUACAGGAUAGGUGGGAGACUUGGAAACUUGGGCGUCAGCCUGAGUGGAGUCAUCCUUGGGAUACCACCCUGACAGUACUGGGGUUCUAACCGGCGGCCAUGAAUCUGGUCACGGGACAUUGUUAGGUGGGCAGUUUGACUGGGGCGGUCGCCUCCUAAAAAGUAACGGAGGCGCCCAAAAGUUCCCUCAGCGCGGUCGGAAAUCGCGCGAAGAGUGCAAAGGCAGAAGGGAGCUUGACUGCGACACAUACAGGUGGAGCAGGGACGAAAGUCGGC
Molecule: ribosomal RNA, 1606 nt
Filed under: Clostridium sporogenes
Lineage: Bacteria; Bacillati; Bacillota; Clostridia; Eubacteriales; Clostridiaceae
Description: bacterial LSU rRNA
Rfam family: Bacterial large subunit ribosomal RNA
Source: RNAcentral